Molecule: non-coding RNA, 243 nt
Organism: Pelobates cultripes (western spadefoot toad)
Lineage: Eukaryota; Metazoa; Chordata; Amphibia; Anura; Pelobatidae
Source: the annotation of a GenBank genome assembly
UAUAGCCUUGCUUGGUCACAGCGGCUUGGUUGGUGAGGGGAAGGCAAGGGCGAACUAUGGUCUAUGGUCAAAUUAAGAAGAGUUAAGAAAGUUGGUUGAUUGGUUACAAAUUGGUUGGUUACAAUGUUGGUAUAAUGUUGGUGGGUUUCGAGUCUGUCGGUGGCUCAGAACCUUGGAGGUGUAGGGUAUCUGGGUAUACCCCUACCAGGAGGCAGUUAAGCUUUAUGUUGCACUUUAUUUAUG